GAGCGAGAAGGGGCUGCUCAUCAUGUCCACCGCGGGAGGCCCCCGGUUUGAAGAACCGGGGGCUAAGCGUGCGGUGGCCGAGAUGAGUAGCCCCGGACAGCGGCGAAAGGGAGAGUAACGCGUAGUUACCUGCCCCAGGGUCCGGAAUAGCCACGGGAAACUGUGGGUAAUGCCGGAUAACAUCUUCGGAUCAAAGGUGUGAUUCCGCCCUGGGAGGGGACUGCGUCCUACUAGCUAGUUGGCGGGGUAAUGGCCCACCAAGGCAACAAUGGGUAGCGGGUGUGAGAGCAUGACCCGUCUCACUGGGACUGAGACACUGCCCAGACACCUACGGGUGGCUGCAGUCGAGAAUCUUCGGCAAUGAGCGCAAGCUUGACCGAGCGACGCCGCGUGCGGGAUGAAGGCCCUCGGGUUGUAGACCGCUGUCGUAGGGGAGGAAAUCAACGAGGGUACUCCCUCGUAGUUGACCUAUCCUAGGAGGAAGGACGGGCUAAGUUCGUGCCAGCAGCCGCGGUAAUACGAACCGUCCAAACGUUAUUCGGAAUUACUGGGCUUAAAGGGUUCGUAGGCAGCCAUGUAAGUGGGGUGUGAAAUCCCUCGGCUCAACCGAGGAAUAGCGCUCCAAACUACAUGGCUUGAGGGAGACAGGGGUAAGCGGAACUGAUGGUGGAGCGGUGAAAUGCGUUGAUAUCAUCAGGAA
Molecule: ribosomal RNA, 700 nt
Filed under: uncultured bacterium
Lineage: Bacteria
Description: bacterial SSU rRNA
Rfam family: Bacterial small subunit ribosomal RNA
Source: RNAcentral